This 1528-nucleotide ribosomal RNA is filed under the name Klebsiella pneumoniae. Its description in RNAcentral is "bacterial SSU rRNA". It matches the Rfam family "Bacterial small subunit ribosomal RNA". Lineage: Bacteria; Pseudomonadati; Pseudomonadota; Gammaproteobacteria; Enterobacterales; Enterobacteriaceae. The record is from RNAcentral.
AGAGUUUGAUCAUGGCUCAGAUUGAACGCUGGCGGCAGGCCUAACACAUGCAAGUCGAGCGGUAGCACAGAGAGCUUGCUCUCGGGUGACGAGCGGCGGACGGGUGAGUAAUGUCUGGGAAACUGCCUGAUGGAGGGGGAUAACUACUGGAAACGGUAGCUAAUACCGCAUAAUGUCGCAAGACCAAAGUGGGGGACCUUCGGGCCUCAUGCCAUCAGAUGUGCCCAGAUGGGAUUAGCUAGUAGGUGGGGUAACGGCUCACCUAGGCGACGAUCCCUAGCUGGUCUGAGAGGAUGACCAGCCACACUGGAACUGAGACACGGUCCAGACUCCUACGGGAGGCAGCAGUGGGGAAUAUUGCACAAUGGGCGCAAGCCUGAUGCAGCCAUGCCGCGUGUGUGAAGAAGGCCUUCGGGUUGUAAAGCACUUUCAGCGGGGAGGAAGGCGUUAAGGUUAAUAACCUCAUCGAUUGACGUUACCCGCAGAAGAAGCACCGGCUAACUCCGUGCCAGCAGCCGCGGUAAUACGGAGGGUGCAAGCGUUAAUCGGAAUUACUGGGCGUAAAGCGCACGCAGGCGGUCUGUCAAGUCGGAUGUGAAAUCCCCGGGCUCAACCUGGGAACUGCAUUCGAAACUGGCAGGCUAGAGUCUUGUAGAGGGGGGUAGAAUUCCAGGUGUAGCGGUGAAAUGCGUAGAGAUCUGGAGGAAUACCGGUGGCGAAGGCGGCCCCCUGGACAAAGACUGACGCUCAGGUGCGAAAGCGUGGGGAGCAAACAGGAUUAGAUACCCUGGUAGUCCACGCCGUAAACGAUGUCGAUUUGGAGGUUGUGCCCUUGAGGCGUGGCUUCCGGAGCUAACGCGUUAAAUCGACCGCCUGGGGAGUACGGCCGCAAGGUUAAAACUCAAAUGAAUUGACGGGGGCCCGCACAAGCGGUGGAGCAUGUGGUUUAAUUCGAUGCAACGCGAAGAACCUUACCUGGUCUUGACAUCCAUAGAACUUAGCAGAGAUGCUUUGGUGCCUUCGGGAACUGUGAGACAGGUGCUGCAUGGCUGUCGUCAGCUCGUGUUGUGAAAUGUUGGGUUAAGUCCCGCAACGAGCGCAACCCUUAUCCUUUGUUGCCAGCGGUCCGGCCGGGAACUCAAAGGAGACUGCCAGUGAUAAACUGGAGGAAGGUGGGGAUGACGUCAAGUCAUCAUGGCCCUUACGACCAGGGCUACACACGUGCUACAAUGGCAUAUACAAAGAGAAGCGACCUCGCGAGAGCAAGCGGACCUCAUAAAGUAUGUCGUAGUCCGGAUUGGAGUCUGCAACUCGACUCCAUGAAGUCGGAAUCGCUAGUAAUCGUAGAUCAGAAUGCUACGGUGAAUACGUUCCCGGGCCUUGUACACACCGCCCGUCACACCAUGGGAGUGGGUUGCAAAAGAAGUAGGUAGCUUAACCUUCGGGAGGGCGCUUACCACUUUGUGAUUCAUGACUGGGGUGAAGUCGUAACAAGGUAACCGUAGGGGAACCUGCGGUUGGAUCACCU